Long non-coding RNA from Empidonax traillii (willow flycatcher), 748 nucleotides. RefSeq lists it as uncharacterized. The record is from RefSeq and is a predicted model, not a curated record. Lineage: Eukaryota; Metazoa; Chordata; Aves; Passeriformes; Tyrannidae. The transcript has 2 exons.
UCAAAGGACUCAGAUGAUAAAAGGUUUGCAUGAAUGCACUGGGACGAGACAUGACAGCCAGUAAAUUCUCGUGAAUCUGCAUCAGAACAGUGAAGGAACACCCUGAAAAAGGGGCCGGGAUCCCUGGGCUGCAGUAAAUGGUAUUAUACACUGGACUGUAAAAUCCUGGACAUUCUCAGCAUCUUUAGUCACGAGAAAAAAACAGCACAGGGUAUGAUGAAGGGAUAGUGCAACUUAAGUGUUGCAGCAGAGAGCAGACACAGAGUGUGUGGGUUUUUGUGACGGGACCCUCCAUCACCAGUGACCUCCAGGGCAGGAGCAGGACAGCAGGGAGACCUGACUGGGAGCUGCGAGCAACCAGUGGGUAAAGGACACUGGGGCUGUACUCGCUGGUGGCUGGCACUGACUCCUCACACAGAAUUCCACAGUUUUUAGAGCCUGGAGCCGCUCUCCAGUCUGACAGCUGAGGGGAGCAGAGGCAUCACCCACGGGCACCACCGCAGCGUGUGGAGCGGGCAGCACAGCCCCGGGCGUCCGGCAAAUCAGCUUUACAUGCACUCACAACAGCAAAAUUCUGAACAAAAACAGUAUGAAAGGAAUGGGAGAAGAAAUUGUGAAGGAAGCAGGCCAUGAGCAGCACCUCCCUGAUCCCGGGGGGACAGGCCCUAUGGAUCAUUCCCACGGAAAAGGCAGCAGUCAAUCUCCUAAAGAAAAAGAAAAAUAAAGUUAUGUUUGAGCUUUCCAUGUA